AGAGAAUACCAAGGCGAUCGAGUGAAUCGUGGUUAAGGAAUUCGGCAAAAUACCCCCGUAACUUCGGGAGAAGGGGGGCCCAGAGGGUGAAGGCACUUGCUGCCUAGCCUGAACGGCCGCAGAGACCAGGGAGAAGCGACUGUUUACUAAAAACACAGGUCCGUGCGAAGUCGCAAGACGAUGUAUACGGACUGACGCCUGCCCGGUGCUGGAAGGUUAAGAGGACCGGUUAGUUCUUCGGAGCGAAGCUGAGAAUUUAAGCCCCAGUAAACGGCGGUGGUAACUAUAACCAUCCUAAGGUAGCGAAAUUCCUUGUCGGGUAAGUUCCGACCUGCACGAAUGGCGUAACGACUUCUCCACUGUCUCAACCACGAACUCGGCGAAAUUG
RNAcentral lists this ribosomal RNA (388 nucleotides) under Salmonella enterica subsp. enterica serovar Hadar. RNAcentral's name for it is "partial 23S ribosomal RNA". It matches the Rfam family "Bacterial large subunit ribosomal RNA", at positions 1673 to 2044 of the family's 2925-position model. Lineage: Bacteria; Pseudomonadati; Pseudomonadota; Gammaproteobacteria; Enterobacterales; Enterobacteriaceae. The record is from RNAcentral.